UACGUAGGUGGCAAGCGUUGUCCGGAAUUAUUGGGCGUAAAGCGCGCGCAGGCGGUCCUUUAAGUCUGAUGUGAAAUCCCACGGCUCAACCGUGGAAGGUCAUUGGAAACUGGGGGACUUGAGUACAGAAGAGGAAAGCGGAAUUCCAAGUGUAGCGGUGAAAUGCGUAGAGAUUUGGAGGAACACCAGUGGCGAAGGCGGCUUUCUGGUCUGUAACUGACGCUGAGGCGCGAAAGCUAGGGUAGCAAACGGG
This 253-nucleotide ribosomal RNA is filed under the name uncultured bacterium. RNAcentral's name for it is "partial 16S ribosomal RNA". It matches the Rfam family "Bacterial small subunit ribosomal RNA", at positions 524 to 776 of the family's 1533-position model. The record is from RNAcentral.